Molecule: unclassified non-coding RNA, 329 nt
Filed under: soil metagenome
Description: partial contains 5.8S ribosomal RNA, internal transcribed spacer 2, and large subunit ribosomal RNA
Rfam family: 5.8S ribosomal RNA (bases 1-120)
Source: RNAcentral
GAUGAAGAACGUAGCGAAAUGCGAUAAGUAAUGUGAAUUGCAGAAUUCAGUGAAUCAUCGAAUCUUUGAACGCACAUUGCGCCCCCUGGUAUUCCGGGGGGCAUGCCUGUCCGAGCGUCAUUACAACCCUCAAGCUCAGCUUGGUGUUGGGCCCCGCCGCCCCGGCGGGCCCUAAAGUCAGUGGCGGUGCCGUCCGGCUCCGAGCGUAGUAAUUCCUCUCGCUCUGGAGGUCCGGUCGUGUGCUCGCCAGCAACCCCCAAUUUUUUUCAGGUUGACCUCGGAUCAGGUAGGAAUACCCGCUGAACUUAAGCAUAUCAAUAAGCGGAGGA